CUUUUAAGCAUCCAAUUGGCUCUUUUCUUUCUUUCUUUUUUAUGGUAGAGGAAGGAAAAGGAGCUGACUGGGCAGCUUGGAGG
Molecule: non-coding RNA, 83 nt
Organism: Gallus gallus (chicken)
Lineage: Eukaryota; Metazoa; Chordata; Aves; Galliformes; Phasianidae
Source: RefSeq, marked provisional